Molecule: ribosomal RNA, 253 nt
Filed under: uncultured bacterium
Lineage: Bacteria
Description: partial 16S ribosomal RNA
Rfam family: Bacterial small subunit ribosomal RNA
Source: RNAcentral
UACGUAGGUGACCAGCGUUGUCCGGAUUUACUGGGCGUAAAGGGCGCGUAGGCGGCCUACUAAGUCGGACGUGAAAUCCCCGAGCUCAACUCGGGAACUGCGUCCGAUACUGGCAGGCUUGAAUUCGGGAGAGGGAUGCGGAAUUCCAGGUGUAGCGGUGAAAUGCGUAGAUAUCUGGAGGAACACCGGUGGCGAAGGCGGCAUCCUGGACCGGCAUUGACGCUGAGGCGCGAAAGCCAGGGGAGCAAACGGG